AUACGUACCUUGCUGGAGGGACCUGCGAUCAAGAAGGCGGGUCCCUUAGACGCCACCCCCUUCCAUUGCACCUCGGGUUGUGCGUGGUGGUGGCUACUGCUGCCCUACUGGGCCAGCAGACAGCAUAAUUUGUGGUCGUGUGGGCGGUGCGCUCGUCGCCUGCCCACG
This 168-nucleotide small nuclear RNA is filed under the name Acanthamoeba castellanii str. Neff. RNAcentral describes it as "U1 spliceosomal RNA". It matches the Rfam family "U1 spliceosomal RNA". From Rfam's summary of the family: U1 is a small nuclear RNA (snRNA) component of the spliceosome (involved in pre-mRNA splicing). The record is from Rfam by way of RNAcentral. Lineage: Eukaryota; Discosea; Longamoebia; Acanthamoebidae.